This 1815-nucleotide ribosomal RNA is filed under the name Dermacentor andersoni. Its description in RNAcentral is "small subunit ribosomal RNA". It matches the Rfam family "Eukaryotic small subunit ribosomal RNA". The record is from RNAcentral. Lineage: Eukaryota; Metazoa; Arthropoda; Arachnida; Ixodida; Ixodidae.
UACCUGGUUGAUCCUGCCAGUAAUCAUAUGCUUGUCUCAAAGAUUAAGCCAUGCAUGUCUAAGUACAUGCCGAAAUAAGGCGAAACCGCGAAUGGCUCAUUAAAUCAGUUAUGGUUCCUUAGAUCGUUUCUUCCUACUUGGAUAACUGUGGCAAUUCUAGAGCUAAUACAUGCAGUGAGCCUGAAGCCCUUUGGGCGACGGGUGCUUUUAUUAGACCAAGAUCGAUCGGGUUUCGGCCCGUAUUGUGUGGUGACUCUGGAUAACUUUGUGCUGAUCGCAUGGCCACGAGCCGGCGACGUUUCUUUCAAGUGUCUGCCUUAUCAACUUUCGAUGGUAGGUUACUUGCUUACCAUGGUUGUUACGGGUAACGGAGAAUCAGGGUUCGAUUCCGGAGAGGGAGCCUGAGAAACGGCUACCACAUCCAAGGAAGGCAGCAGGCGCGCAAAUUACCCACUCCCGGCACGGGGAGGUAGUGACGAAAAAUAACAAUACGGGACUCUUUUGAGGCCCCGUAAUUGAAAUGAGUACACUCUAAAUCCUUUGACGAGGAUCAAUUGGAGGGCAAGUCUGGUGCCAGCAGCCGCGGUAAUUCCAGCUCCAAUAGCGUAUACUAAAGCUGCUGCGGUUAAAAAGCUCGUAGUUGGAUCUCAGUUCCAGACGAGUAGUGCAUCUACCCGAUGCGACGGCUCGGACUGAACAUCAUGCCGGUCCUUUCUUGGUGCACUUCAUUGUGUGCCUCGAGAAGGCCGGUGCUUUUACUUUGAAAAAAUUAGAGUGCUCAACGCAGGCGAGUCGCCUGAAUAAACUUGCAUGGAAGAAUAGAACAAGACCUCGUUUCUGUUCUGUUGGUUUUUGGAAUACGAGGUAAUGAUUAAGAGGGACAGACGGGGGCAUUCGUAUUGCGGCGCUAGAGGUGAAAUUCUUGGACCGUCGCAAGACGAACUACUGCGAAAGCAUUUGCCAAGAAUGUUUUCUUUGAUCAAGAACGAAAGUCAGAGGUUCGAAGGCGAUCAGAUACCGCCCUAGUUCUGACCAUAAACGAUGCCAACCAGCGAUCCGCCUGAGUUACUCAAAUGACUCGGCGGGCAGCUUCCGGGAAACCAAAGUGUUUGGGUUCCGGGGGAAGUAUGGUUGCAAAGCUGAAACUUAAAGGAAUUGACGGAAGGGCACCACCAGGAGUGGAGCCUGCGGCUUAAUUUGACUCAACACGGGAAAACUUACCCGGCCCGGACACUGGGAGGAUUGACAGAUUGAGAGCUCUUUCUUGAUUCGGUGGAUGGUGGUGCAUGGCCGUUCUUAGUUGGUGGAGCGAUUUGUCUGGUUAAUUCCGAUAACGAACGAGACUCUAGCCUAUUAAAUAGGUGCGGGGUUCCCAGCACCUUACAACCUUCUUAGAGGGACAAGCGGCUCCUAGCCGCACGAAACAGAGCAAUAACAGGUCUGUGAUGCCCUUAGAUGUCCGGGGCCGCACGCGCGCUACACUGAAGGAAGCAGCGUGUCUUUAUCCCUGUCUGAAAAGACUGGGUAACCCGUGGAACUUCUUUCGUGAUUGGGAUAGGGGCUUGCAAUUGUUCCCCUUGAACGAGGAAUUCCCAGUAAGCGCGAGUCAUAAGCUCGCGUUGAUUACGUCCCUGCCCUUUGUACACACCGCCCGUCGCUACUACCGAUUGAAUGAUUUAGUGAGGUCUUCGGACCGAUGUCCGGCGCGGCCUUUCGGUUGCGCCGGUCUGUUGGAAAGAUGACCAAACUUGAUCAUUUAGAGGAAGUAAAAGUCGUAACAAGGUUUCCGUAGGUGAACCUGCGGAAGGAUCAUUA